CAAACAGAGUGAAGGAUAAGUAGCAACUUUAACUUUUUGAACAGGAAGCGGCGGUACUGAGAAGUCGUCAAAAGCAAGUUGUGAAUGGCCCUUUAAUCGGGAGCUGGUGAUAAGCUAGUUCGGGUAGCACCCUUAUCGCAUAAGUGGCACGAUUUUUUCGUGCAAUUUAGGUGGUACCACGUCUAAGCGUCCUAAUU
RNAcentral lists this non-coding RNA (197 nucleotides) under Latilactobacillus sakei. Lineage: Bacteria; Bacillati; Bacillota; Bacilli; Lactobacillales; Lactobacillaceae. The record is from RNAcentral.